Long non-coding RNA from Rhopalosiphum padi (bird cherry-oat aphid), 647 nucleotides. RefSeq lists it as uncharacterized. The record is from RefSeq and is a predicted model, not a curated record. The transcript has 3 exons. Lineage: Eukaryota; Metazoa; Arthropoda; Insecta; Hemiptera; Aphididae.
UGCGGCUAACGCGUGUCGCGUGAUCGUGUUACGUUACACGACGGUAACGUGCUAUUAUUAUUAUUAAUAUUAUUAUUAUUAUUAUUAUUAUUAUAAGUAUUGUAAUUACGUGUAUUUAUUGUAUUAUUAUGAUUAUUAUACGUGUUUAAAAGCCGCCGUGCUGUCGAUGAAGGACCGGUGAUGAAUGUGUAAAACACACGUGACGGAUUCCGAACGAGAACAUCGCCAUGGCCACUAGCCAGUCAACAUUUUCAGUUUAACCAUUACACUCAUUUUUAUACGAAAUGAGAUCAGUAAAAAAAACAUCGAUCAUUAACCGAGUAUUGAAAUCAAUAAUAUUAUUACAUGCUAUAUAAUAUUAAGACCGUUCAUGAAACUAUCGCGCCAAUGUUGGACAUAAUGGCAUUUUUUUUUAAUCCUCGGCGAUAAAACGAAACGUUCAGAUUUAACCACAUUCCAAUGGACUAUUACGUCCGCCGUUGUUUGUAUACUUGCAACGCAUAUUUUCGUCAUUAGUCGUCUCAAAAUAUAUUGCGUACUGCACUGCCGCAUGAUCAUACCAAAUAAUAUCACAUGACAAUAAUAUACAUAACUAUAAGUCACAAAAAAUCGUAUAUAUAAAUAUAUAUAGUCGUUUUCUGAUUUUU